Molecule: unclassified non-coding RNA, 387 nt
Filed under: soil metagenome
Description: partial contains 5.8S ribosomal RNA, internal transcribed spacer 2, and large subunit ribosomal RNA
Rfam family: 5.8S ribosomal RNA (bases 1-120)
Source: RNAcentral
GAUGAAGAACGCAGCGAAAUGCGAUAAGUAAUGUGAAUUGCAGAAUUCAGUGAAUCAUCGAAUCUUUGAACGCACCUUGAGCUCCUUGGUAUUCCGAGGAGCAUGCCUGUUUGAGUGUCAUGAAAUUCUCAACCUUUUCAGCUUUCUUUGUUGAUCAGGCUUGGAUGUGGGAGUAUGCGGGCUUCUCAGAAGUCGGCUCUCCUGAAAUGCAUUAGCGGGACCUUUGUUGCCUGGCUUUGGUGUGAUAAUUAUCUACGCCAUUGUAGUCAAGCAGCUUAAAAUGAGGUUUCAGCUUCUAACCGUCUCCCCUGAGACAACUUUUUGACAAUUUGACCUCAAAUCAGGUAGGACUACCCGCUGAACUUAAGCAUAUCAAUAAGCGGAGGA